This 388-nucleotide ribosomal RNA is filed under the name uncultured Acholeplasma sp. RNAcentral describes it as "bacterial SSU rRNA". It matches the Rfam family "Bacterial small subunit ribosomal RNA", at positions 987 to 1382 of the family's 1533-position model. Lineage: Bacteria; Bacillati; Mycoplasmatota; Mollicutes; Acholeplasmatales; Acholeplasmataceae. The record is from RNAcentral.
UCCCCUGCAAAGCUAUGGAGACAUAGUGGAGGUUAUCAGGGAGACAGGUGGUGCAUGGUUGUCGUCAGCUCGUGUCGUGAGAUGUUGGGUUAAGUCCCGCAACGAGCGCAACCCUUAUUGCUAGUUACCAUCAUUGAUUGGGGACUCUAGCGAGACUGCCAGUGAUAAACUGGAGGAAGUGGGGAUGACGUCAAAUCAUCAUGCCCCUUAUGACCUGGGCUACAAACGUGAUACAAUGGCUGAAACAAAGGGCAGCGAAGCAGUGAUGUGGAGCGAAACCCAAAAAAGCAGUCUCAGUUCGGAUUGAAGUCUGCAACUCGACUUCAUGAAGUCGGAAUCGCUAGUAAUCGCGGAUCAGAACGCCGCGGUGAAUACGUUCUCGGGGUUU